RNAcentral lists this long non-coding RNA (562 nucleotides) under Chrysolophus pictus (golden pheasant). Its description in RNAcentral is "lncRNA (ENSCPIG00010003448.1)". The record is from RNAcentral. Lineage: Eukaryota; Metazoa; Chordata; Aves; Galliformes; Phasianidae.
GAGCCCCAGCAUGGUGUGAUGUGGAGGUGCGGUACACGACAUCUGAGCGCUCCCGGUGCUCUGCCAGCUACAGCCAUCUGAGGCUGUAUGAUGAAGGACUUUGCCGCUCUAACCAACGAAUCCAGAGUAGAAAACCGAAAAAUAAGGGGAAAGAUCCAAAAGUUGAAGACUCUUUUAUUGCUGUUUUCUGGCUGGUGUUUGAUUAUUUUCAAGUCAUUAUUAUGAGGAAGAAUAUGUUUGCAGAAAAAACCUUGGCACUUCAUCUGAGUUCUCACAUUUCCCUCUGUGAACUCCUCACCUCUGAUGAAGAACCAAACAGGAAUGGGAGCAGCUGCUCUGUAUGGAGGAGGGCUACAGAGCAGUCUGUGAGAUGGUUGGCAUCACCACUUGCUUGAAGGCACCAGACGUGGACAUUAAGCUCAGUGAAAAGAGACAGAAAUGCAGUGCAUCAGCAUUAGGAACAAUAAACAUAAAUCAGCACUCUUUGCUUAACAGAGAGCUGCUUCCACCAUGCUGUACAUUUUUUUCCAUGACGGGCUUAUUGAGUAGAACCAGGGAAUAA